AUACUUACCUGGCAGGGGAGACACCAUGAUCAUGAAGAUGGUUUUCCCAGAGCGAGGCUCACCCGCUGCUCCGGGUAUGCUGACCCCUGCGAUUUCUCCAAAUGCAGGAAACUCAACCGCAUAAUGUGUGGUAUGGGGGACUUCAUUCAUGCUGUCCCUG
This 160-nucleotide small nuclear RNA is filed under the name Colobus angolensis palliatus. RNAcentral describes it as "U1 spliceosomal RNA (ENSCANG00000000777.1)". It matches the Rfam family "U1 spliceosomal RNA". From Rfam's summary of the family: U1 is a small nuclear RNA (snRNA) component of the spliceosome (involved in pre-mRNA splicing). Its 5' end forms complementary base pairs with the 5' splice junction, thus defining the 5' donor site of an intron. Lineage: Eukaryota; Metazoa; Chordata; Mammalia; Primates; Cercopithecidae. The record is from Rfam by way of RNAcentral.